GUUCACCGCAACACGCUGACAACGAUUCACACGUUCACAACAAUUCACACGUUCACCGCAACACGCUGACAACGAUUCACACGUUCACCGCAACACGUUGACGAUUCACAGGUUCACCGCAACACGUUGACGAUUCACACGUUCACCGCAACACGCUGACAACGAUUCACACGUUCACUGCAACACGC
Molecule: long non-coding RNA, 188 nt
Organism: Poecilia latipinna (sailfin molly)
Lineage: Eukaryota; Metazoa; Chordata; Actinopteri; Cyprinodontiformes; Poeciliidae
Exons: 2
Source: RefSeq, a predicted model, not a curated record